GAUGAACGCUGGCGGCGUGCCUAAUACAUGCAAGUCGAGCGAACAGACGAGGAGCUUGCUCCUCUGACGUUAGCGGCGGACGGGUGAGUAACACGUGGAUAACCUACCUAUAAGACUGGGAUAACUUCGGGAAACCGGAGCUAAUACCGGAUAAUAUAUUGAACCGCAUGGUUCAAUAGUGAAAUACGGUUUUGCUGUCACUUAUAGAUGGAUCCGCGCCGCAUUAGCUAGUUGGUAAGGUAACGGCUUACCAAGGCAACGAUGCGUAGCCGACCUGAGAGGGGGUCCGGCCACACUGGAACUGAGACACGGUCCAGACUCCUACGGGAGGCAGCAGUAGGGAAUCUUCCGCAAUGGGCGAAAGCCUGACGGAGCAACGCCGCGUGAGUGAUGAAGGUCUUCGGAUCGUAAAACUCUGUUAUUAGGGAAGAACAAAUGUGUAAGUAACUAUGCACGUCUUGACGGUACCUAAUCAGAAAGCCACGGCUAACUACGUG
Molecule: ribosomal RNA, 497 nt
Filed under: uncultured bacterium
Lineage: Bacteria
Description: partial 16S ribosomal RNA
Rfam family: Bacterial small subunit ribosomal RNA
Source: RNAcentral